This 2802-nucleotide ribosomal RNA is filed under the name Triticum aestivum (bread wheat). Its description in RNAcentral is "partial small subunit ribosomal RNA". Lineage: Eukaryota; Viridiplantae; Streptophyta; Magnoliopsida; Poales; Poaceae. The record is from RNAcentral.
AUGACGGAGAUCAAGCUGCCGAAUAUCCAGAAAGCUACAUCAAGUGAUCACUGGAGUUUGGCCAGCAACCAGUAUCCAUCUGGUAAAUUUCCUAAGGUAUCAAUUGGCAUACCUCAUCCAAGGUCAGAUUCUGUAUCAAGAAGCAGAGAUGUUGCUGCUGCUGCUGCUGCUGCUCCUGCAUUCGAGAGGAACCUGUCUCAGAGAACUGAUGGAAGAUCGAGACCCCCGAAAGCGAAUAAUGCUUCACUCCGGGUCUCACAAGAAGCUGCAAACCAUGGAGGAUCUGCUGCAGAGGCACCUGAAGCCGCCCAUGUUAAGGUUUCUCUGUCACAACCUGAUGACCAUGCACGUGAGCAAACCGGAACCUUUUCCUUUGGAACAAGAAAAGAACAAGGCAGCCAGCUUGACCAACUGCAGAAGACAUCUGUCGUGAAUUCACAAGGAAAGCGCCAAGUGGAAUCUGCAGAUAAGACCAAACCCAACAGCGAAGUGCUCAGGAUGAAGCUGUGGGGGAUCCUUGGCACAUCACAAACCAAGCAGGCUGUUGCUUCACCAAACCCUGAAGACAUUGAGAGACCGGACCAACCUAAAAGUCUAACCGCCAAUGGACCAUCUCCAGGGAUCAAGAAGGUUUACACGUCACGUUUUCCUGAUAUUAUCAAGACACCUGAUCUUCUCAACUGUCAAACAGCUACCUAUGCAAAGAGCAAACCAUCCUCUGAUCCAAUUGAGUCAGAUUCUGAUACUCCACAAGUAGUUGAAGUGAGGCCCGUUACUCGCACCUUGAGUCGCACGAAAGCACCAGCAGCCUCCAAGAAGCAGGAUAAGAGCCAGAGUGCAAAGAGACCAUUGUCUACUUCACGUUCUGCACCCAAGCAGAAAACACUGGACAGUGUGUUUGUUUUUGAUGAGAAAUGCACACCCAAAACCAUGGGGAAAUCUGCAAAUGGUAACUCUCGCUGCUUGAGAAAUCUUAGAAGCUCAAAUAGGAAGGCUAAAGUAGAGCUUAAGAAGGUCCAUUGUUCUGACAAGAUUUCUGACAAGAUCACACAGGAUGCUAGGGAAGGACAGCUAUCUUCUAGAAAUGCAGCAUCGGAGAAUAAGGGAGAGAAAACCACCUCCUUUUCUUCGUUGUCCCGAACUGGAAAAACUGCUGAGAGCCGUUCUAGAAGCCCUACAAGGGAGAGACGGCUGAAUGGGGCUAAAGUUGGGCUUCAGAAGAUGCAUUUGUCAGAGAAGUUGCUGCCCACGACACUGAAUGAGGGUGAAGAUAAGCUCUCUUCGCAGAAUAUUUCAUCAAAGAGCAAGGAAAAUUAUUCUUCAUUGCUGCACCGGAAGGAGAAUUCUAAUUUGAGCAAAGCUUCAGACAGAAGCCCUCAGGCACAUAAACCAGUGGGAAAUACAUUUAACUUGCCACCAUCUGGCGCUGCUAGUCCAUCACCUGAACCGAAAAUGUACCCAUGCAAUGAGGCAAGUCCCCAGAUAAAUGGUAAACCAUCUGGGGCUGCUAGUCCAUCACCUGAACCAAAAAUGUACCCGUGGGACAAUGAGGCAAGUCCCCAGAUAAAUGGAAAACCAUCUGGUGCUGCUAGUCCAUCACUUGAAGCGAAAAAGUACCCAUGGGACAAUGAGACAAGUCCCCAGAUAAAUGGCAAACCAUCUGGUGCUGCUAGUCCAUCUCCUGAAGCGAAAAAGUACCCAUGGGACAAUGAGGCAAGCCCCCAGAUAAAUGGUAAACUGGGAGAGAAGUUUGCCAGUCCAUUGGCAGCCAGAUUCAGAGACAUGGGAGAUGAGUUUGCAAGUCCUACUUUUGCAACUAAUGUAAAUGGCUACCACAAUAGAAGCAAAGUGCUACAUGAUGACACAUACAGCCCCAAGUAUCCAAAAAGUGUGAACAGGUCAAGAUCAAGUUCCUUUGCUUCUGAUCCAGGGUCUGAGCCAUCGGACGGGAUGGAUAAAACCUAUGAGUUACCUAAAAGUGAAUCUCCCAAUUCUUCAGAAGAAAGAGAGAACAAAAAACAACCAUAUCUUUCACCCAUUUUGCCAACUGAAGAUGAAAUGGCUCAAACUUCUAUUCCAAGUUUUGGGAAAGGAUAUAAAACUCGCAAAUGGCUUUCAGAUGUAGACAGCCCUGAUAAAUCUCCAACAGAAAAUCAGGAUAAGAAAUCACAUCUAAAAGAGGGUAAAAGAGGCAAACGGCGGUUACCUUCGCCUGUUCCUUUUGCCACUUCUGGAACACAAGAAACUAUGAUGUCAGACAAAGAACCAGUGCAAUGCCCAGAUGACUACCUGAACAGGGCUUUUGAUGAGUUACUGCUGGUGCUGGGAAGGUUUCAAACCAAGAUCAAGUCUGAAACAAGAAAUAGAAGUUCUGAGAUACUGGCAGGUACUGGAGAGAUAAUUCGCCAGCACCUGGAGGGAGUUGAGGUGCAGAUGCAGGAUGAUGUGAAUAAGCUGGUCAAUGCAGGAAAAUCUAAAAGGAAGCGACUAAACUCAACAUUUGAAGAGCAACAAGAACAGUUACGGAUUCUUCAUGAGAAGUUUAAGGAGGAGGUUAAUCAGCAGUUGCUUGGUUGCAAGAACUCUCUCGAGGAAUUUGAAGCCUAUCAUGCAGAACUUAAGGCAGUAGCUGAGAAGCAAAAAGCAUCACACAAGAAGCUCCUCCAACAUGCCGAGAGCAGAGUUGGUUCUCAGCUCAAUGAUGCCGAAAUCAAGAUCGCGAAGGUUCAAAAGAGAGCUCGGAGGAGGAUGAAUGGAUUAAAACACGUGCUCAAGGAGCUCAUCAUCGACACCGCAGAUUGA